RNAcentral lists this ribosomal RNA (377 nucleotides) under uncultured eukaryote. RNAcentral's name for it is "partial 18S ribosomal RNA". It matches the Rfam family "Eukaryotic small subunit ribosomal RNA", at positions 592 to 975 of the family's 1831-position model. The record is from RNAcentral.
CAAUAGCGUAUAUUUAAGUUGUUGCAGUUAAAAAGCUCGUAGUUGGAUUUCGGGUGGGACGCAGCGGUCUCGCAUUGCGUUUGUACUGCUGCAGCCCUCCUUCUUGCCGGGGGCGGCCUCUCGGACUUCACUGUCUGGGGGUCAGAAUCGGCGAUGUUACUUUGAGUAAAUUAGAGUGUUCAAAGCAAGCUUACGCUCUGAAUAUAAUAGCAUGGGAUAACACGACAGGACUCUGGCCUAUCGUGUUGGUCUAUAGGACCAGAGCAAUGAUUAAGAGGGACAGUCGGGGGCAUUCGUAUUCCGUUGUCAGAGGUGAAAUUCUUGGAUUUACGGAAGACGAACAUCUGCGAAAGCAUUUGCCAAGGAUGUUUNCAUUG